RNAcentral lists this ribosomal RNA (795 nucleotides) under uncultured Streptococcus sp. Its description in RNAcentral is "bacterial SSU rRNA". It matches the Rfam family "Bacterial small subunit ribosomal RNA", at positions 66 to 845 of the family's 1533-position model. Lineage: Bacteria; Bacillati; Bacillota; Bacilli; Lactobacillales; Streptococcaceae. The record is from RNAcentral.
GCUGAAGAGAGGAGCUUGCUCCUCUUGGAUGAGUUGCGAACGGGUGAGUAACGCGUAGGUAACCUGCCUUGUAGCGGGGGAUAACUAUUGGAAACGAUAGCUAAUACCGCAUAACAAUGGAUGACACAUGUCAUUUAUUUGAAAGGGGCAAUUGCUCCACUACAAGAUGGACCUGCGUUGUAUUAGCUAGUAGGUGAGGUAACGGCUCACCUAGGCGACGAUACGUAGCCGACCUGAGAGGGUGAUCGGCCACACUGGGACUGAGACACGGCCCAGACUCCUACGGGAGGCAGCAGUUGGGAAUCUUCGGCAAUGGGGGCAACCCUGACCGAGCAACGCCGCGUGAGUCAAGAAGGUUUUCGGAUCGUAAAGCUCUGUUCGUAGUCAAGAACGAGUNUUANAAUUGAAAGUUCACACUGUGACGGUAGCUUACCAGAAAGGGACGGCUAACUACGUGCCAGCAGCCGCGGUAAUACGUAGGUCCCGAGCGUUGUCCGGAUUUAUUGGGCGUAAAGCGAGCGCAGGCGGUUUGAUAAGUCUGAAGUUAAAGGCUGUGGCUCAACCAUAGUUCGCUUUGGAAACUGUCAAACUUGAGUGCAGAAGGGGAGAGUGGAAUUCCAUGUGUAGCGGUGAAAUGCGUAGAUAUAUGGAGGAACACCGGUGGCGAAGGCGGCUCUCUGGUCUGUAACUGACGCUGAGGCUCGAAGGCGUGGGGGGCGAACAGGAUUAGAUACCCUGGUAGUCCACGCCGUAAACGAUGAGUGCUAGGUGUUGGAUCCUUUCCGGGAUUCAGUG